This 1690-nucleotide long non-coding RNA is filed under the name Mus musculus (house mouse). Its description in RNAcentral is "predicted gene, 30288". The record is from RNAcentral. Lineage: Eukaryota; Metazoa; Chordata; Mammalia; Rodentia; Muridae.
UAUGAAUCCAGUGGAAUUGACAACGAAAACUGUCAAUCUGGAUGACGGGGAAUGUGUCCUCUGUGAUCCCGUGAAGAGCUUGUGUCCACCAUAAAAAACAAUAGGACAUAGGGAAAAUAGAAGGGAAGAAUGAAAAAAGAACUUCUGAGGUCGUGUCCACAACAGACCAGAUGAGAAUGGCAGUUUUCCUGAAAUCAGAGGACAGGCAGUGAGCCUCCUGAUAUGAAAAUGGAACACGGGUUCUCUGCAAGAGCAACAAGCAUCCUUAACCACUGAGCCAUUGCUCCAGCCCCAGAAGCUUGAGAGUCUGAGAAUGAAAUGGGUUUUUAAGGCCGAAUCUGCCACAGUGUGCAAAGGAGAAUUUCUACAUGGGCAACUUCUGCCCUGACACCCAUGUUUUCCCCACAGUCUAACCAGGACCUUCCCUGUUUCCUUCUGCCCCAGAGGUGACUUUGCUGGCCCAAGAACCAGGAGUUUCGUGAACAUUUGCCUUCUUCACCUGUUCUGAGGCAGCAGCCUGAGCAGCGCCCUGCACCGACUGUUGCUUGAGCUCCUGCAUUUUCAGACACAGCUCCUGCUGGUUUUCCCAGAGAUGGUGAUGUCCUCAGGCUGUUGAUAUCCCUUAGGAGGUAGAAGAGUGACUACAGACCCCAGAGGGCUGCAAAGAUGUGGGGGAGGGGCACUGUUUGCCUCCCCGUGGCCCUGGUCAGGCACAGCAGAUGGAGAACUACCAGUAAGAACACUUCCCGGAUGAUGUCCAGUAACAAGCCCAUUUUCCUCCAUGACUGAGUCACUGGGAACACUGACGUAGCUGGAUUCUACAAGGUAAUCAUCCUCUGACUUCCCGGAAUCUUGUAAUGAGUCAUCUCUCAGAAGUUCACAUUCCCUUUAUCUUUCACCAAACUUUAUCUAUUAAAAUCAAUAGUGUUGUGACUGGUCACUGUAGAUGCUGGAGCAGCCUAUCAGCUUACACGGUUCACCUGCGGCUCUAAGGCAAAGGCAGUUGCAGUCAACACACUCAGCUCCUGUGACUCCACCUCCCGUGUUAUACCCUAGACCUCCAGACACAGCACUCUUAUUUGCCUGAUACUUUGUUUCUCUGUCUUCCAGAAUGAGACAUAGACCUAGCAAGUCUUACAUGAAAAGCCACUGGUACAAGGUAAACUAUCUAUCCAUCGGUGCAAUACUCCCAUCUACCAGGCAAGGUUUGCCAACUAGGGCAAUAGCGGCACAAGUGCUACAGUGGUAACCAACUACUUUCAGCUUGGCUCUGAGGUUUGCUACACUGCGUUUUAAGCACAUAAUUUGCUGCCUGCUGUACAGCUCUUGUUCACUUCAGUUCUUCCUCUUCUGGCCUCAAUACGAAGACAAUCAUAAAUUUUACUUAAGAAUGUCAUACAUUACACUAUAAAAAUUCUUUUAACUUUUUUUUUUAACCUUUGAGAACUCAGUCUUAAAAGCUGGAGUGAAAAUGCUCUACUUUCUUACACAUUUGCCAUGAUGGUGCUCUCCUCCAUGGGAGGGCAUUUUCUUCAGGUGCUCUCCCUCUGCCCCUCUCUGUGUUCUGUCGGCUGAUAAGAAGUCAGUGUAAAGCUUCCUUUACCUACAGAAGUUUAUCUCAUCUCCAUUUCUGAAAUGUGCUUUAGUAACAUUCAAUAUAUGAUAAAUAAAGCAGUCUCUCAAUGUCCGA